AACGAACGCUGGCGGCAUGCCUAACACAUGCAAGUCGAACGGGAUCCUAGCUUGCUAGGUGAGAGUGGCGGACGGGUGAGUAACACGUGGGAAUCUGCCUUUUGGUUCGGGAUAACCGCGGGAAACUGCGGCUAAUACCGAAUGCCCUCGAGAGAGGAAAGAUUUAUCGCCAGAAGAGGAGCCCGCGUCCGAUUAGGUAGUUGGUGGGGUAAAGGCCUACCAAGCCGACGAUCGGUAGCUGGUCUGAGAGGAUGAUCAGCCACACUGGGACUGAGAUACGGCCCAGACUCCUACGGAGGCAGCAGUGGGGAAUAUUGGACAAUGGGGGCAACCCUGAUCCAGCAAUGCCGCGUGAGUGAUGAAGGCCUUAGGGUUGUAAAGCUCUUUUGCCAGGGAAGAUGAUGACUGUACCUGGAGAAUAAGCCCCGGCUAACUUCGUGCCAGCAGCCGCGGUAAU
RNAcentral lists this ribosomal RNA (457 nucleotides) under uncultured bacterium. RNAcentral's name for it is "bacterial SSU rRNA". It matches the Rfam family "Bacterial small subunit ribosomal RNA", at positions 29 to 524 of the family's 1533-position model. The record is from RNAcentral.